Molecule: unclassified non-coding RNA, 23 nt
Filed under: Chlamydomonas reinhardtii
Lineage: Eukaryota; Viridiplantae; Chlorophyta; Chlorophyceae; Chlamydomonadales; Chlamydomonadaceae
Description: small RNA Cre_3969
Source: RNAcentral
UUGGACGGUGUACGCCCGGCUUU